AAGUCGUAACAAGGUCUCCGUUGGUGAACCAGCGGAGGGAUCAUUACAGAGUGUAAAAACUCCCAAACCAUUGUGAACCUACCUAUUUGUUGCUUCGGUGGGCGGGCCUCUCUGGGGUCCCCAGGCCGCAAGGCGCCCGCCGGAGGUAAUCUAAACUCUUGUUUUCAGACCUGUCUUCUGAGUAUACAAACAAAAUAAUCAAAACUUUCAACAACGGAUCUCUUGGCUCUA
RNAcentral lists this unclassified non-coding RNA (231 nucleotides) under fungal sp. RNAcentral describes it as "partial internal transcribed spacer region". The stretch from base 1 to 46 matches the Rfam family "Eukaryotic small subunit ribosomal RNA", at positions 1786 to 1831 of the family's 1831-position model. Lineage: Eukaryota; Fungi. The record is from RNAcentral.